AUCUCUCUCUCUCUCUCUCUCUCUCUCUCUCUCUCUCUCUCUCUCUCCAUUUUAGACAAGAAUGGAAUGGAAGAAACCCAUUGCAUGCUUAACUCCAAAAUCCAAACUCGUUUUCUGCAGCAGGAAAAGGUGAAAAUGUACAGGCAAAGCAAAACAUAUGUAAUUGAAUAAUCCAAAAAGUAAAACACAGAAUAUAAUUACACAACAGCGAUCAAUCUUAACAGAAACCCAUAAAAUAUUACAGAAAACUAAGAAAAAAUGAAUGCAGACGAGAUCCAUAACUUGCUGCAAAUCCAAAAGAAAACACAAAUUUGCAUAAUAAUUAAAUCACAAAUUAACACUCAACUAUUCAAAUCCAGCAGCUGUUCAAUAUUUCAAACUAAAGAACCACAGAUCUAUCUAAUAGAGAUCAAUAUUGCAAAAAUAGAAAUUAAUAAUGCAAUGAAAUAAAUGAUGUAAAUAUCAAGAUUUGUACAAGUGAAAAUGGAAAUUAAUCAAGAACUUGUCAUUUAAUAGGAGUAUAACAUAUUCCAGACUGGCUUCAAUUAAUACAAGUAUAUAAAUCAAGUUGUGCAUUAUUAACAUGCGAAAUAAAUUAAACCCAUUAUAAAUGUUUGUCGUCUCAUUUAAAUAGUCAGAUCAGAUCCAUAGUCAUGACAGCCUCAGCAAUACAAAUUGAUAUUGUUUUUCUCGGUGAAAAGAUUUACUACUAUUUUCCUAAAAAUUUGCUGGGUAGAAAACCCUAGUUUAAUUUCCUAGAAUUUACUUGGUUUUCCAAUGCAAAUUAAUUUAAUUUCUUACUUACAGUUUCCCAAUGGAAAAUCCAAGAUUUCUUGUGAAAGGGUGAAAAAUGGUGGGAAAUGGAGGGUGGUUGAAUACAAUGUAAAUUGUGUGGUCCAAGAGACAUACAUAUAUAUGCAUAUGCCAAAAAUUUAUUCAGAAAUUUAUGGUGUCAUUGAAAUUUAGUUGAUGAGAUAAAUUGCGUGCAAUAACUACGAAAUUUAAAAUCAUCAUGAAUUAUGUCAUUGGGUGAAAGUACAGGCUGUGCAAAAGGUUGAGAAAGAAUAACGUAUUUAGUGUAAAUUUUAUGAAACAACAAGGAUUUGUCUUUUUUUAGUAAUUUUCAAAACACAUGAAUCCAUCUAACUAAAAUCAUCGAUUCAUUGCUUACUGAGCCUUUCUAUCACAUAAUUCAAGAUCUGAAAUUACAAUACUCUUAUCCAGCACUACUAACAAAUUCAAAUUUGGAAUUGAGAAAUCACAAUACAUUGUAAAAAGAUAAAUAAAUGUAAAAUCAAGAUCCGAAUACCAAAAUUUAAAACUGCAUCUGCUAUCGCCAAAAAAUUGAUCGAUUGAAAUCGAAGAGGGUCUUAC
Molecule: long non-coding RNA, 1374 nt
Filed under: Salvia miltiorrhiza (redroot sage)
Lineage: Eukaryota; Viridiplantae; Streptophyta; Magnoliopsida; Lamiales; Lamiaceae
Description: long non-coding RNA (SMIL_LNC004542)
Source: RNAcentral